GAACAGGCGCGCAAGGGCAUUUGGUGGAUGCCUUGGUGUCAGAUGCCGAUGAAGGACGCGGUACACUGCGAAAAACCCUGGUGAGGCGUGUGCAGCCGCAAGGAGCCGGGGGUAUCCGAAUGGGGAAACCCGUCACCCGUAGCGGGGUGACACUGUGUUGUAAGAGGCACAGGGGGAACCGGGCGAAGUGAAACAUCUGAGUAGCCCGAGGAGAGGAUAGGAUUCUGCGAGUAGUGGCGAGCGAAAGCGGAACAGCCCAAACCGUUGCCUGCGGGCGACGGGGUUGCAGGACUGGCGGGAGGGUCGCAAGCUGAAGCCGAAGGGUCUGGGAAGGCCCGCCGGAGGGGGUGAGAGUCCCGUAGGCGGAAGGGGAGCGAUCUGGCCGGGAUCCUGAGUAGUGCGGGACACGAGGAAUCCUGCAUGAAGCGGGGACGACCACGUUCCAAGGCUAAAUACAUCUGACGACCGAUAGCGGAGAGUACCGUGAGGGAAAGGUGAAAAGAACCCCGGCGAGGGGAGUGAAAGAGAAUCUGAAACCGGAUGCCUGCAAACGGUCAGAGCGGGGAGGGGCGACCCUUUCUGUGAUGGCGUGCCUUUUGGAGAAUGAGCCAGCGAGUCAAUUUCUGUGGCGAGCCUAAGGGUGGGACACCUGGAGGCGGAGCGAAAGCGAGUCUGAAGAGGGCGGUGGAGUGGCAGGGAUUGGACACGAAACCAGGUGAGCUACGCAUGGACAGGCCGAAGGCGCGGUAACACGCGAGGGAGGGCCGAACCCACGGCUGUUGCAAAAGUCGGGGAGGAUCUGUGUGUAGGGGUGAAAUGCCAAACGAACCUGGAGAUAGCUUGUUCUCCCCGAAACAGCUUUGGGGCUGGCGUCGCGUGAUAACUGGCGGGGGUAGGGCACUGUAUGGGGGAGGGGGCGCAAGGCUUACCGAACCCUGGCAAACCACGAAUACCGUCAGUGGAAGCGUGGCAGUUGGACCAUGGGAGAUGAGUUUCAUGGUCGAGAGGGAAAGAGCCCGGACCCGCGGCUGAGGUCCUUAAGGGGUGACUAAGUGGGAAACGAGGUCGUCGUGUCGAGACAGCCAGGAGGUUGGCCCAGAAGCAGCCAUCCUUGAAAGAGUGCGUAACAGCUCACUGGUCGAACGCGGUGGCGCGGAAAAUGGAACGGGGCUUAAGUCACCCGCCGAAGCCCGGGAGUGGGACCCUGAGGGGUUCUGCUGGUAGGGGAGCGUUCUGCAGGCGGUGAAGGCGAUCUGUGAGGGUUGCUGGAGCGUGCGGAAGUGCGAAUGCUGGCAUGAGUAGCGAGAAACAUGUGAGAACCAUGUUCGCCGAAAGCUCGAGGUUUCCGACGGAAGGUCAGUCCGCGUCGGGUUAGUCGGGCCUAAGCCGAGGCCGGAAGGCGCAGGCGAUGGACAACCGGUUAAUAUUCCGGUACCGGAUGGUGGAGCGGAUGCGCAGACCUGGGGAAAGUCUGGCCGCUGAGUGGAUUGCGGUGGCAAGCGGGUCACACCCGUGAUGUCGUCCCCUUCGGGGGAGGAAGCAGGCGGGACUCCGGGGCGAGAAAAGGCGCAUUGGCGGUGAAGUCAUCUGCCCGUACCACAAACCGACACAGGUAGGCGAGUUGAGGAUACGCAGGCGAACGGGAGAACCCUCGUUAAGGAACUGGGCAAAAAGGUCCCGUAACUUCGGGAGAAGGGACGCCACGUUGGGAGACGUGGUUGCAGUGAAGAGGCUCUGCCGACUGUUUAGCAAAAACACAGGUCUCUGCGAAAGCGCAAGCUGACGUAUAGGGGCUGACACCUGCCCGGUGCCGGAAGGUUAAGUGGAGGGGUGAAGGCAGGCGCGAGCGUGCCGGAAGCUCUGAAAUGAAGCCCCGGUGAACGGCGGCCGUAACUAUAACGGUCCUAAGGUAGCGAAGUUCCUUGUCGGGUAAGUUCCGACCCGCACGAAAGGUGUAACGAGCGGAGCGCUGUCUCAACGGGGGACCCGGCGAAAUUGAAGUACGUGUAAAGAUGCGCGUUACCCGCAGCAGGACAAAAAGACCCCGUGGAGCUUUACUGCAGCCUGUCAUGGCGUCAGGGCGCAUGUUGUGCAGGAUAGCCGGGAGACUGUGAAGCGAGGCCGCCAGGUUUCGUGGAGUCGCUGUUGAAAUACCGGCCUGGAUGCGAUUUGGUCCUAACCGUGGCGUCGGGAGCGGCGCGCGGGACAGUGGCAGGCGGGCAGUUUGACUGGGGCGGUCGCCUCCGAAAGGGUAACGGAGGCGCCCAAAGGUCGGCUCAGGCUGAAUGGAAACCAGCCGCAGAGUGCAAGGGCAGAAGCCGGCCUGACUGCGAGACGAACAGGUCGGGCAGGGACGAAAGUCGGGCCUAGUGAUCCCACGGUACCGUGUGGAAGGGCCGUGGCAUAACGGAUAAAAGCUACCCCGGGGAUAACAGGCUGGUCUUGUCCAAGAGUUCACAUCGACGACAAGGCUCGGCACCUCGAUGUCGGCUCAUCGCAUCCUGGGGCUGGAUCCGGUCCCAAGGGUUGGGCUGUUCGCCCAUUAAAGCGGUACGCGAGCUGGGUUCAGACCGUCGUGAGACAGGUCGGUCUCUAUCCGCUGCGGGCGCGGGGAGUUUGAGGGGAGCUGUUCCCAGUACGAGAGGACCGGAACGGACGCAGCGCUUGUGUACCGGUUGUCGCGCCAGCGGCAUGGCCGGGUAGCGAGCUGCGGAGUGGAUAAGCGCUGAAAGCAUCUAAGCGCGAAGCCAACCCCGGGAUGAGACUCCCGUUUCCGGAAGGGAGGGAGACCGCUGGGAGACGACCAGCUGGAUAGGCCGGACGUGGAAGUGCAGUAAUGGAUGGAGCGGACCGGUACUAAGGGUCGAGAGCCUGGGAUG
Molecule: ribosomal RNA, 2879 nt
Filed under: bacterium
Lineage: Bacteria
Description: 23S ribosomal RNA
Rfam family: Bacterial large subunit ribosomal RNA
Source: RNAcentral